RNAcentral lists this ribosomal RNA (801 nucleotides) under uncultured bacterium. Its description in RNAcentral is "bacterial SSU rRNA". It matches the Rfam family "Bacterial small subunit ribosomal RNA", at positions 8 to 808 of the family's 1533-position model. The record is from RNAcentral.
AGAGUUUGAUCCUGGCUCAGAUUGAACGCUGGCGGAAUGCUUUACACAUGCAAGUCGAACGGUAGAGGGGGCAACCCCUUGAGAGUGGCGAACGGGUGAGUAAUAUAUCGGAACGUGCCCAGUCGUGGGGGAUAACGUAGUGAAAAUUACGCUAAUACCGCAUACGAUCUAAGGAUGAAAGCGGGGGAUCGCAAGACCUCGCGCGAUUGGAGCGGCCGAUAUCAGAUUAGGUAGUUGGUAGGGUAAAGGCCUACCAAGCCAACGAUCUGUAGCUGGUCUGAGAGGACGACCAGCCACACUGGAACUGAGACACGGUCCAGACUCCUACGGGAGGCAGCAGUGGGGAAUUUUGGACAAUGGGCGAAAGCCUGAUCCAGCCAUUCCGCGUGCAGGAUGAAGGCCCUCGGGUUGUAAACUGCUUUUGUACAGAACGAAAAGGUCUCUAUUAAUACUAGGGGCUCAUGACGGUACUGUAAGAAUAAGCACCGGCUAACUACGUGCCAGCAGCCGCGGUAAUACGUAGGGUGCAAGCGUUAAUCGGAAUUACUGGGCGUAAAGCGUGCGCAGGCGGUUAUAUAAGUCAGAUGUGAAAUCCCCGGGCUCAACCUGGGAACUGCAUUUGAGACUGUAUAGCUAGAGUACGGUAGAGGGGGAUGGAAUUCCGCGUGUAGCAGUGAAAUGCGUAGAUAUGCGGAGGAACACCGAUGGCGAAGGCAAUCCCCUGGACCUGUACUGACGCUCAUGCACGAAAGCGUGGGGAGCAAACAGGAUUAGAUACCCCUGUAGUCCACGCUGUAAACG